GACAGAGGUGCCGAGCGUUAGGCGGAAUCACUGGGCUUAAAGCGUGUGUAGGCGGAUGGGUAAGUACCUUGUGAAAUCCCACGGCUCAACCGUGGAACUGCUCGGUAUACUGCUCGUCUUGAGCCAACUAGGGGCGACCGGAACAAACGGUGGAGCGGUGAAAUGCGUAGAUAUCGUUUGGAACGCCGAUGGUGAAAACAGGUCGCUGGGGUUGUGCUGACGCUGAGGCGCGAAGGCGUGGGGAGCGAACGGG
Molecule: ribosomal RNA, 253 nt
Filed under: uncultured bacterium
Lineage: Bacteria
Description: partial 16S ribosomal RNA
Rfam family: Bacterial small subunit ribosomal RNA
Source: RNAcentral